RNAcentral lists this long non-coding RNA (840 nucleotides) under Cricetulus griseus (Chinese hamster). Its description in RNAcentral is "lncRNA (ENSCGRG00015043250.1)". Lineage: Eukaryota; Metazoa; Chordata; Mammalia; Rodentia; Cricetidae. The record is from RNAcentral.
GGGAGGAAGGGGAACCAGCUGGCCAGAAAAUUGCAAAGGUCGCUGAUGCAAUCUUGCAACAGCUUGCUCAGCCUUCCCUGUUAGAGCCCAGAGCCAGAGGGGAAAGGGUGCCAUUCUUAGGGGUCUGAGGUCAUUGGCCAGAGUCAGAAGCCAGCGUCAAUCCCUUGGUCUGCUACAGCCCUUCAGUUCUAGUCGAAGGUGAAAGUUUGGAAUUUAAAGUUCAUGCUUUAGUUGAUAGGUAAGUGAGCAAGGUAACCACAGGCCAAAUGUAGAUUAUUCUUGGAGGAGCCUGGCUUGGCUUUUUGUUCUUUUAACCUUGUCAAGCCAGAAAGUUCUGUAAGGAAGGUCUGAGCCAAGUUUAACUUCAGUCUUGGCAUUGUUCUUAAGCCUUCCUGAUAAAUUUGGAGCACUCCUAGUAGCUGGCAGCAGUGACCAUGGAACUUCCCCAAGGACCACGAGGGUUCCAGACACAGUGGCUCCUGGGAAAGAAUAUGAUGUAUACCUAGACAAGAGAGCACCCAAUUGGUUUCCCCCUCGGAAGAAUCCAAGCAGCAAGAUGGAGGAAAAAUCAAUUCAAAGCCUGAGGAGGACUGAUGAGGAAAAUGAUCCGAUGGGAGAACCUGGUUGAGACCAGUCCACCUUCACUGUGGUGCUAUCCCUGGGCAUGUGGUCCUGGGCUAUAGGAGAAGGCCGGCUGAGCAAGCUGUGAAGAGCAAGCCAGUAAGCAGCACUGUUACUGGAUUUUCUUUUCCAGUCAGGUUCCACCACCCUUCUCAGCCCCAAAGAAACACGCAGACGCUAUAUUAAUUAUAAAGCUAUUGGCUGAUGACUAGGGAUUCU